This is a non-coding RNA of Triticum aestivum (bread wheat), 126 nucleotides long. The record is from Rfam. Lineage: Eukaryota; Viridiplantae; Streptophyta; Magnoliopsida; Poales; Poaceae.
AAAAUACUCCGUCCAUCCCAAAAAAAUUGUCCCCCAAAUAGAUGUAUCUAGCAUCAAGUUAGUGCUAGAUACAUCCAUAUGAGAAACAACCUUGGGACACGUUUUUUCAGACGGAGGGAGUAGUUC